Molecule: non-coding RNA, 127 nt
Organism: Caenorhabditis elegans
Lineage: Eukaryota; Metazoa; Nematoda; Chromadorea; Rhabditida; Rhabditidae
Source: Ensembl
GCCCUCCAUGCUUUGAGCAAGGGGGAGGCUCAUUUAUCUCUACCCAUUCGUACGUUGUGGUGGUAUCAAUCAUUUGAGAUAAAGGAUAGGAGACAGAAAGAAAACAACGGUGCGAAAUAAAUCAUAU